This is a non-coding RNA of Hordeum vulgare subsp. vulgare (domesticated barley), 143 nucleotides long. NCBI's taxonomy places the organism in Eukaryota, Viridiplantae, Streptophyta, Magnoliopsida, Poales, Poaceae. The record is from Rfam.
GCACCAAUGAUGAUGAUAUGGUGUCCUAUCUUCUAGCAGCCUCGACAUCGACUACAAUCCAUUGGUUGCCUCGGUUUUGGGGAGAUCGGCUACUGACCCGGUGUGUUUCAGUGAUCUGCACACACAACUUCUAAGCUAUGAGA